This 22-nucleotide non-coding RNA is filed under the name Mus musculus (house mouse). The record is from RNAcentral. Lineage: Eukaryota; Metazoa; Chordata; Mammalia; Rodentia; Muridae.
UGAUGUGUGUGUGCAUGUACAU